RNAcentral lists this ribosomal RNA (914 nucleotides) under uncultured Bacillota bacterium. RNAcentral describes it as "bacterial SSU rRNA". It matches the Rfam family "Bacterial small subunit ribosomal RNA", at positions 28 to 916 of the family's 1533-position model. Lineage: Bacteria; Bacillati; Bacillota. The record is from RNAcentral.
GACUAACGCUGGCGGCGUGCCUAACACAUGCAAGUCGAACGAGCCAAUCACCAGUAGCAAUACCAGUGUGCGGCAAGUGGCGAACGGGUGAGUAACGCAUAGAUAAUCUACCUUUCAGACGGGGACAACGCAGGGAAACUUGUGCUAAUACCCGAUGAGACUACGAGAAGGGAUUUUUGUAGCCAAAGGGGGGCUUUCGGGCUCUCGCUAGAAGAUGAGUCUAUGUUCUAUCAGCUAGUUGGUGGGGUAAGAGCUCACCAAGGCUAAGACGGAUAGCCGGCCUGAGAGGGUGAACGGCCACAUUGGGACUGAGACACGGCCCAAACUCCUACGGGAGGCAGCAGUGAGGAAUUUUCCGCGAUGGGCGCAAGCCUGACGGAGCGACGCCGCGUGAGGGAUGACAGCCUUCGGGUUGUAAACCUCUUUUAUUAAGGAAAAAGGUUAGAAUGUUAAUACCAUUUUGAUUUGAUGGUACUUGAUGAAUAAGCCCCGGCUAACUACGUGCCAGCAGCCGCGGUAAUACGUAGGGGGCGAGCGUUGUCCGGAGUUACUGGGCGUAAAGAGCGUGUAGGCGGUUGGAAAAGUCAGGUGUGAAAUGUCUCAGCUCAACUGGGUCACUGCGCCUGAAACUUUCUGACUGGAGUUCGGGAGGGGCAAUCGGAAUUCCUGGUGUAACGGUGAAAUGUGUAGAUAUCAGGAGGAACACCGGUGGCGAAGGCGGAUUGCUGGACCGAAACUGACGCUGAGACGCGAAAGCGUGGGGAGCAAACAGGAUUAGAUACCCUGGUAGUCCACGCUGUAAACGAUGAGUGCUAGGUGUAGGGGGUAUCGACUCCCUCUGUGCCGCAGCUAACGCAUUAAGCACUCCGCCUGGGGAUUACGGCCGCAAGGUUAAAACUCAAAGGAAUUGACGG